This 390-nucleotide ribosomal RNA is filed under the name uncultured Nitrospina sp. RNAcentral's name for it is "bacterial SSU rRNA". It matches the Rfam family "Bacterial small subunit ribosomal RNA", at positions 29 to 410 of the family's 1533-position model. The record is from RNAcentral. Lineage: Bacteria; Pseudomonadati; Nitrospinota; Nitrospinia; Nitrospinales; Nitrospinaceae.
AACGAACGCUGGCGGUGUGCUUAACACAUGCAAGUCGAACGAGAACGUUUCCUUCGGGGAACUAGUAAAGUGGCGCAAGGGUGAGUAACACGUGAAUAAUCUGCCCUCGAGAUCGGGAUAACCUGGCGAAAGCUAGGCUAAUGCCGGAUAAGACCACAUUCCAAAAAGGAAUGCGGAAAAAGGAGUCUCAAUCUCCACUUGAGGAUGAGUUCGCGGACCAUUAGCUUGUUGGUGAGAUAAAAGCUCACCAAGGCUACGAUGGAUAGCCGGCCUGAGAGGGUGAUCGGCCACACUGGAACUGAGACACGGUCCAGACUCCUACGGGAGGCAGCAGUGGGGAACAUUGCGCAAUGGGCGAAAGCCUGACGCAGCAACACCGUGUGAGCGAUG